UUACGGGAGGCAGCAGUGGGGAAUUUUGGGCAAUGGGCGCAAGCCUGACCCAGCAACGCCGCGUGAAGGACGAAAUCCCUCUGGGAUGUAAACUUCGAAAGUCAGGAAAGAAAUCCGCGUGGAUAAUACCCGUGCGGGAUGACGGUACCUGACGUAAGCCCCGGCUAACUACGUGCCAGCAGCCGCGGUAAUACGUAGGGGGCAAGCGUUGUUCGGAAUUACUGGGCGUAAAGGGCGCGUAGGCGGCACGGCAAGUCGGGAGUGAAAGGCCUGGGCUCAACCGAGGAACUGCUUUCGAGACUGCCGAGCUAGAGUGCGGAAGGGGCAACUGGAAUUCCCAGUGUAGCGGUGAAAUGCGUAGAUAUUGGGAAGAACACCUGAGGCGAAGGCGGGUUGCUGGGCCGACACUGACGCUGAGGCGCGAAAGCCAGGGGAGCAAACGGGAUUAGAUACCCCGGUAGA
Molecule: ribosomal RNA, 462 nt
Filed under: uncultured bacterium
Lineage: Bacteria
Description: bacterial SSU rRNA
Rfam family: Bacterial small subunit ribosomal RNA
Source: RNAcentral